Molecule: long non-coding RNA, 19810 nt
Filed under: Gallus gallus (chicken)
Lineage: Eukaryota; Metazoa; Chordata; Aves; Galliformes; Phasianidae
Source: RNAcentral
UAUAUAUUUAUAUGAAGAAGAAUAAAAGAUCUAGCUCAGUGGCAAUGGAUUUUUCCUAGGAAAAAAUCCUGCUUCUGACUGCAGUGGAGAGGUUGAAAUCCAUUAGAUCUACCUAAAAGACAGAACUCAAGCCUCUGACAUCAGACUGCAGUUACCAGUGGCUUGGAUGAAAUGCUUAUCAAGGAAGCUUCUAUAAAUGGGAGAAGUAGCAAAGCUGAACGGGAUUGGCACGUGGUGGUCAGGACUGAGUGGUUCCACUCAGAAAGGUUCAAGUCCUCAUCUCACUUUCUUACAGAAAAAACACAAGUGAUCCUUAGCUUUAAAAAUAAUUUUUAAAAAGCCUAUCUUUUGACUGAGAAAAUGCUCGUUUAAAUCCUUGCCAUCAUGAGGGGCUUCUUUUUCUGUCUGUAAAAUGGGAAUGUCUCUUCCAUCCUGCCGAGAAGAGUAAGUGAAUGCUCCCUACUGGAAUCUACAGCGGAUACGGUCUUGUGGUGUGUUCGGCAGAGCCUUCUGUCACAGCAGGAAGAAAUCCUGCCACAAUGUGGAGCUAAUGCUUCUGAAGUCAUUUGGAGCCGUACUUGGAUUUUGUGCUGCUCAGGGUCUGUCACACUGUGUACUGGGCAGAAAGUGGGAGUGAGGAGCAUUGUGGGUGUUCAGUGGUGAUGGAACAGGUGUGGCCAUUGUAAGUCCCUCUGCUUCGACAGCUGUGCUAAUGGACCUUCUGCUGUGGCUUCCUGCCAAGGGCUUAAAUGAACUAAGGACCUUUCAGGUUUCAAAGUACACCUGUUGCUAUGUUCUCGAGGCUGGUGCACAUGUACAGUGCAGCUGAUUACAGGCUGACGGGGAGGCUGGGGGGCCGGGCUGCACGACACGCUGUCUGCUGCAGCUGGAGACUGUCGGGAGCUCCUCUGGUGUCGACGCAUCCCGGCCGGCAGAGUGCUGCCUGCUGCUCUGCAGCGCUGCCUGUGCCGAAUCGGCUCCGAGGGGGAAUUCCUCUGUGCCGCCGGUAGGCUGCAUCCUGCGCUGUUACCGGGCGGGGCUUCUUUAAAAAUCACUGCGUGCAUCACCGGAUCCACUGACACGGACUAUCUUUAACUAUGGGAAUAUUCUUCUGCAGCCAUCUCUGCAAUGAACCGCACUCAGUGCCCUACUUCCCUUGCUCAGGGAGGCUCUGAGGGUGAAUCUGGUCAGGUAUAGCAGAGGCAGCAGUGCUCACAGCAUCCAGACGCUUCAUGAGCCUCACUGCAGUAACUACAGCCUGCCUUACCAGACGCUCGGGGGGGGUGGUUUGAAAUAAUUGUAAGGAGUGCUGUUACAUUUUUAACGUUUCCCUUCUCUUCUGUUAUAUGGGUCAGAGCCUGUGUUCUAAAGUGCAGCCUGAAUUGCCUCUGAAAUCAGAAAUGUAAAUGCCUCAUGAUGCGCCAAAUUAUUUCCUUUCCUUUUCAGAUGUUCUCAUUCUCCCUUUCUUUGACUUCUUAAGGUGAGCAACCCCUGGGGUGUUCUGCUGUACUGCUGAUGCUUAGCAUAUGGAAGCUGAGAAACAGAUGUAUGCGAUGAGGGCCGCUCUGACGAUCGUCUGUCAAACCAUGGGCAGCACCAGGAGGAGCACCCCGGGUCUUCUGGCUCUCUGUAGCCCACCCUGAGCACUGCAGCCUGCCUUCUGCUGCACAUGGUGUGAUUCAUAAUGCAGAGGCUCUGCUGUAAGCUGGCUGCCUCUUUGUGAGCUGCCACUGCUGCAGCAGAGAAAAGCGUUUGAGCUCAGGCAGCAAAGAGAUUGUGCAUGUCUAGCAAAUAGUCAGAACUCCAGAAACAGUGCUUAACAGAUUAUCUUAUCUUGGGAUAAUCUCAUAAAGCAUACUGACUGGUUAAAACUACGCUUUGAAGUUUGCAGCAAACAUCUCAAAUCUUUACCCUUUGUGACUGUGGGCUUUUUGUUUGUUGUUUCCUCCAUUGUCUGUACAAAAAUACCACUUCACGUAUUCUUUUUGAUAGUCUGUGUUCUAGCCUUUCUGGAAAAGUACCAAAUCAUUAAUGGGUAUUCGUUGCUUUUAGUUGUGCUUCUCAGUGCUAACCCUAUUCCUGCUAUUUGCAGUUUGUUUAGGCUAUGUUUAGGCACAUGCAAAUGUAAGUGGUUAUUCAGCGCCUUUGGCGUUCUGAACAGAAUGUCCUGAACUCCCGUGGCUCCUUACAAAGCCUCAGCCUCCAGCACUAACAAAGCCUGUGACGGCAGCAGCUGAAGCAUGAGAACUACCUGCCCUCGACAGGGUGAAUUCGGAGAAUCUGGGAAGGUUGUAGACCAUGAUCUCAUGCAUGCUCUGCCUGCAGCACUGGAGCUGGGCUGAUGCAGCAUUGCAUGCGGUGUGUGGAUUCUUCUGCAGCAUGAAGUUUUUCUCUGGCUGCAUCAACACUUGGGUUCAGUGUGUUCCUGAAUUAUAAUGGAGACUUCUACAAAUAAUGCAGUAACUGGAAGUGAAGCGAAACCGUGUGAUGCUGCGGCCUCCCAAGUAUCUGCUGGCAGCAGCCUGGGAUUUUUACAGUUGUUUAUCUUGUUGCUCAGCCUAUUUUAAGCUCUGGUGGACCAACAACAGCAGAGUAACGACAGAUCACAGUGCUGGGCACAACUGUUUAGCUCCUAAAACCCAUGCUUUAAGCUUCAGACUUGCUUUAUAUUGUCAUGUGUUCAGUAGCUUCAGACUUGUGGCUUCAGGCUCGUAUGCUCUUUGCUGGCUCUUGCAUGAUGUGAGGGAGCCCUGAUUCACCCCGAGGAGUGUGGUGUAUCCAGGCAAGAAAGAGGCUGCAGCAGUGAUGGAAAGCGCACGCUGUGCAGGGCAGGGCCCAACCUCAUCCUUGGUCCAGCUCCCACGAUGGAGAUACAAAGAGGUUUUUAUCUCCCAAGUCUUCUUAUUGGAUCUUCUUUAUCAUCUGUUCAUUUGUGCCAGAGUCAAUUAAUUUCUUGGGUUUACUGAGUAGGUAGUACACUGUGUAAGACUUUAAUAGGGAGCAGUAUAGGAUAAAUCUCUCCUAUCCUGGAAAUGAUUCAGCUUCUAAUGCUGAUUCUGUACUCAUCUGACUCUGGUACACUGAUUACAUGGUCUCCUACCACACAAAAUAUUCUAGAAGUGGUGCUCUGCAUUUUCCUCUGUCUCCAGACUUGGGACUUCUGAGAGCAGCUUGUCCUGCAGGCUCAGCUCCCUGUUUUUUGGUGGAUUAGGUGCAUUUGUGGUUACUGACAAGUUUAGGUUCAUUGCAUUUGCUUUAACGCUGUGUGGAGCAGGACAGAAAGCUUGUUGAUUCUUGUAAUGAUGGAGCCACAUAAUGGAUGGAGCCAGGACAGGAAUGUUCCCCAUCUGGGGGGAAAAGCAGAACCGUCAGUGUCAUGAAGUCAUGCUGGGGAGUAAAAGGAAGUGCACAGCUGGAGAGGUGGGACAGAGGGGAGGUGGGGGGAUGUGAUGGCUGUACCUCAUCUACUUCAGGUAAUCACCACAAAAGCUCAGGAAAGUAAAUUGCCAAGCUUGUUUCCUUACCCUCACUUCACAUUUUUGUGUGGUAAAGGAAAUCACAGGGCAUUUAGCUGCUCCGUUUCAUACGGCUACUUUUCAAGCCCUGUGCAGAUAACUAAUACUCAAAAUAUUAACACAGAUUUGCUGUAAUUUGAAAUCCAGUUUCUACCCAUACAUUGUCCUACCCUUGGGUUAUAAUGGCUAAACUUUCAUCAGAACUCACCCUUUAUUUUGUUUCCAAACUGCUGAUGCACAUGCCUGUCAGGGGCAGCUGUGCACUGCAGGCAUACACAGAAGACAUGGAGGGCAGGAGCAGACCUCUGCAGCUGGGAGUCCGUGCUGGGGCCUCUGGGCACUGUGCAAAUUGGCUCCAGGGACCUCGUGUGUGUGUGAAAGGAAAUCAUGUUCUGCACCGAAGUAAGAUCAUGGCUACUGAAAUCUCUAUGCUGCGUGCAAUGCAGAUUAGGAAGAAAUCCGGAGCAGCUGUUACAUUACAGGAAACUGCAGUUCGUCCUGUCGUGGCCUAAGAGCUUGUUACUGUGGGUGCUGUUUUCCCCAGAAGAGCCUUGCAUGCAGGCAGCAGGCAAACUGCUGCAGUUCAGCCCAGUGCAGGUCUGUAAGACCCCCAGUGCUGGCUUUUCAGUCACUGAAGCAAUCUUGUUGAACCAACUUUAAUGAGAAACCUAAACAAUUUGUUCAUUUAAAAAUCUGCCUAAUUGUGUCUGUUCUAGAAUGCAGCCAAAUGAACCAAAAGUAGUGCGAACAGCAAGUUAUCUUGUUCUUUGCUGGGCUGAUCAUGGAGAAAGAGAGAGAGAGAAUUUGCUGCUGUCUCCUCUGCACCGCUGAGCUCAUGCCUGGGACAGCUGCACAUCGUGGGCCCAGGAGGGCACUGAGUGUUUCAGUCCUCCACAGCUCUGAAGCCACGCUCAAACCAUGCAGUAGCAGGGAGAGGAGAUCCCAGAGUGGGGGUCCCGCGGCCAUCUGCCCUACCUGCUCUUCCCAGCAGCAGCACAGCCUCAAUCCAGCCCCUCGGAAAGGAAGAAAAACACACUUUUUGCCCUCAGAAACUAGGAAAAGCCAAAGAAAUCUCUCUUUAGGACAAGGCCGAUGCUGUAUCCUGUCUUGUUUUUACUAAGUCAGAUCUUUUUUUCCACUGGAUCUUACUCUCGUGUGUGUUUUGUUGCUGUGUCCUUCUGUUGUUUUCAGCUUUCUGCCGCAAGAUGUGGAACUGUCAGAUUCCCAAUCAGAUCAACACCUUUAGGAUUUGUUUGACUUCCAAUACGCCUUCCUGAAGUUAUUGCUGACUAACGCUGUGAAAUCAUCAGUUUUUUAUUUUGAAUGUCUAAAACACCGUAAGAUUUCUUGAGGCUACUUCUCACAAAGAGAUUGCAGUUGGUGUCCUUUGCUCAUUAUUACAGGAUGUGAGUCAUUUUGAAGAAAGAGGGGGGGGAGGACAAACAAAAACCCUAUUUUUCUCAAAGCUCUGAAAAUAUAUUUUGUCCCUGAUCUGAGCUGUAGUUUGAUGUGAAUAUGAGAGAAGCCAGGGCUGGCUGGGAGCUCUGCUGGCCCUGAGAUGCACAGAGCACGUGUCCUGCAGCAGCUGGCUGUGGGGUGAUGGCCCUCCUUACUCAGAGGAUGGGUACAUCCCUGGGCUGUAAUGUGAUAUAUCUUGAGCAGCUGAACACUUUGGAGCUUGCGAAGAACAAUACAGAGGGGCUGGAUUUUGUUGCGUUUUGAGCUCUUCCUGGAGAAAACAAAUGGAGUACUGUGGGUAUUUUUUUUUUAUUUGUGUAAUCUUGAGGCAGAGUAUCACAUAUUGCAGAGGAUGAUUGAAGCAGACAACGUUUGUGCUGGUUCCCAGUAUGGAAAAUGUGAACAAGACAAUUCUGCAUCACCUUUCCUUUCUGGGACCUGGUGUAGGGACACUCUUUGGGAGGAGUGCUGUGAAUCAACCUCAUCUGUCAUCUCCAGGAGAGCGUCUGUAGGGUGAGGCGUGUUUCACAUGAGUAUGCUCCUCCUCCUACUGCCGUGCAACGUACACACAGCCUUCCUUACUGCUGGCUGCUGGAGCACAUCAUGUACUUCGGUCUCUUUGCUUGGAGUGUUUUUGGCAAUAACUGGAGCUAAGUUACCCUGCUGCCGGCUGCCUGCAGUUCCACCACCCUGUUCAUUUGUAUCCUCCCUUUAAUGAACAAGAGAAUACUUACGAAAAUACAGUUGAUGAGUUUCUUAAUCACCUGUCUGUAAAUCACUUUCCUUCUCUGAUUUGUAAUUUCUCUAUGCUUUUUUCCAUCUUUCAUGUAGUGACCCUGGUUCUCCUCCUGUUUUUCAGCAGCAUGACUCUACUGCACACAAAGAGAUGAUGGAGGGGUUGGGCUGGUAUAAGUAAGGAAGACCCAGUCCACAGGUAGUUUUGUGCUUUUACAGCUACCUGAAGUAAUGUGAGGAAAUGGCUGUUGUCACACGCUCACGUUUCUGCAUUCUGUUGGCUGAGUUUGGGGGAAUUAUGUAGAGCAGUUGCACUGCAGCAAGCAGUGUGCUAGUGGAAGACUCUCCUGUGCUUCUGUGGCUUCAGGAAACUCAUCUGCUAAACUGGGAGCUGGUGGGCAGAACUGAUCCCGGUGCCGUUGCAGUGCAGUGUCACUGCCUGUGGAUGGCUGCCCUCAGCCAGCAGUUGCAGCAGAUGAAUAGCUGGCAGGAAGGUAACAAGCAACAAACAGACACCGCCUCGUGGCUGUUUUCCCAGUGCCCAGAUGUAUGGUGUGCUCCGGGACGAUGGGGACCUCCCUCUCUGCUGCAGUAGACACAUCUAUUAUUAGCUCAGUGGCAGCUUUCCAUAUGCCAACACUCGUGUCUGCAGGACUGUUUAAUUUUCACUUCUCCAAAGUACUUAAUUUGUCAGCUGUUGGCUUCUGUUCAUUAAAGACCAAACUUCAAAUUCCUCUAUUUUUUUCUGCUGGAGCUGAAUUACAGAUCCUAUCUGAACAGACCAUCGUACCUAUGCAGAAUUAGGGGCAGGAUGAUGUCUUAAAUCCAGAAAGUCAGCCUAAGGCUACUACCAGGAAAAAAAAAAAACCUGUCUCUGGAAAUGGCCGCCCAGUCUCCAUUUUUCUGUUAAUUUCCAUUCGGAGAAAGGAGAAAUCAGUUCUGCCAAAAGCACUCCCUAGCUGUGCUUCGGUGCCGGGCUGGGGAUGUGGCACACAGCUGCCAGUGCCCCUCUGCAGGCGCUGCCACUUCUCUGGUGGCUGAGGAUGGUGCUGCCAUGAGUUAAUCACCCACCAAUUCACUGCUGGGGGCCUCUCUUUAAUUAUUGAAUGUCACAAUAGAGGUAUAUUGCAUUACCUUGCUGGUAAAUAUCAUUUUCAGCAUCUCAUGUAACUCUAUAAUAUUCUCAGUUUUCCUACUUGCAUAACAUUAAAUCUUCAAAGAAUCUAAAAAUGUCCCACUAUAUUUUUAUAUGUUGCUUAUAUAGCAGUGUGUGUUUCCAGAGAAUUAUAUGCUGACUUUGAAGAUGGCCUUCCUGGCAGUUGGUACUGUAUGAUUACUUCUGUUGAAAGCCGGGCCUCUACUUGGAUGUGCAGUGGAAGGAAGCAGCAUGUGCACAGUGCUUUAUCAAGCAAAUGGACAAACACACCCCAGAACAGCAGCCAAAUGUCGGUCUCACUUACAGAAGCUGAACUGGUGUGAUCGUACAUCAGCUCUGUUUCAGCUGGGGUAACAGAGAGCAGAGAUUCUGGUGCCUUAAGGAUCCCUCUGAGAGAAGACCACUGAGAAAAGAUGUCAAUGCUCCGCAGCAGCUGGGGGGUAGGCAGUGAAAUCCUUCUGUGAGCUAUAUAUCCACCUUGCCUUUUUCUGCUCACGCAUAAUUUUAAGCAGCACGCUUCCUCAGAAUGAUUGUAGGGUUGAUGAAUAUGACUGUCAAAAUAUAUACAAAAUUGAGUUACAAUAUAAUGUAGCUUUUGGAUGUUAAACAGUCUCAAAUAACAAGCAUUCCUAUAUUAUUUUUUCUUAUGUGAGGAAAAACCUCUUUGAUUUUCACUGCUUUGAAAAAUCUCCUUGUGCUGCUCCUUCCCUUCCCAAGGAAGGAAAACGUGAGCGGUAAUGGGUAUCCUGCUCUGCUCCAUCCAGAGGACGUGGAAAGCUUCGUGCCAGCUCCUCUGGAUGCCCGUGAGUGCUUCUGAUCCCGCAGCAUCCUUCAGCUGAAAGCUGGUGGGCCCUGGAGCCCAGCACUGCCUGGUGCUGCCCUGCUCUGUGAUCCUGGUGCUAUUCUGGCAGCUGCAGGAGGACAGCACUCCUCCACCUGCUUGUGUUUCAGGGUGAGAUGUUGUUAUCUGUAUUCCUACUCCCCAACUACUGAGAAUGAACGAUCUUUGUUACUUGGUGUGGAUCUUUUUGUCUUUUGGAGAUCAUCUGUUUGAGUUUGUGAGGAAUGUGCUUCCUUUGUCAUCGCUCGCCUUGCUCCACAGGAGUGGUUUGUUUCCAAGGACCUGAUAUUAGAUUUUGGUGGUCAGCAAAACCUGGUACCCAGCUGUUGUAGCCCAAGCUCUGGCUGACAUUUCCUGCAGCGACUGCAACAUGCAGUUCUGGUCCUGCAGUGCACAACACAAGAAAAGCCUUCUGUGUCCACGCAGAGCUUUACUGCAGACAGCUGACACAGCACACGGAGUCUGGGGGCAAGAGGAAAAGUCCCCACGUGUAUCUGUUACCUUUUGUAUUCUGCAGCAAUGCAAACAAGUGCCGGCGUUUGUCCUCACUCCUCUCCCUCAGCUCUGCUGUUAUGAACCCAUCGAAGGCGGUAGAUCUGCAGUGGGUGACAAAGGGGCUGCACAGCCCAUGGCCAUUUGUUUCUGCAAAAUCAUCUGGAUAAUGGAGGCUCCACCGUCGAUGCAGUUUAUAUCGAAACACCAACUGGGGAAAGAGGAUUUCUCAUUCCUUACUGUGCAAGAGGAAUAAAACAGCUUUCAUCUAAUUUUCCAAAUGGUGCUGAUUCCACGAGGGCCUGCUGGCAAUGUACGAAGGACCUGGGAGGAAAGGCGAUGCCGCGGUCCAUGGAACAUCUUUGCAUUUCAGAGUUCGAGAGGAGUCACAGUGCCGUCUGAUGCCAGGCAGGCACACGCGCAGCCCGCGCCCACGCAUCGCGCCCAUGGCGGCGGCGGCGCCCCGCGUUCCGGAGCCAGGAGGGCGGAGGGGUGGGGGGGGCGGGCAGCGCUGCUGGAGCUGCUGGCGGAGGGCUCCAUCUACUGCUGCGCAGAGAGAAUGCUAAGGUAGCUGCCGCGGCUUUCUCUUUUCCUCUCCCCGCGGUGAAAGGCUGCUCGAUGCCGUGCCCUCUUCUCGCCCCUCUUCUUACUUUGCCGUUUAGAGCCUCCCUCUCCAAAAGCCGUCCCCUGCCCAGGGCACUGCGGGGGUUCGCAGGUGGGGACGGUCCGCACCCAGCUGUCGUUAAGCAGGAGGCAGACAAAGGACGGAGAAAAGUGGCACGGGAACAAAGUGGUUUUUCCAUCCAUGUACGGAAUCAGGAGCAGGAACUGGCCGUGAUUUCUGGGCCCUGUCUCUGGUAGGAGAGGGUUCGCUGCAAAGGCUGCAGAGGUAUUUGGGAGGACUGCAGACAGCGCUUGCUCUAGAGAUGCAGAAGUGAAGUCCAGGAUGUGCGCAGUGCUGUGGCUCUGCUUUGUUUGCUGUGGUGUUAUUUCUGAAAUUGCUGUAUUUUAGACAGUCAGGGAAGAGCUCCUCGUGCAAAUACACAUAGGUCAGAACUGAGCCCUACACAAAACCAGAUCCCUCUUCUACAUGGCCCAGGGCUGCAAGGACGUGUGGGGAUAUGUCUGGGUGUGAAUUCUGCAUGACAUUUUCCCUUCAGUACUUUGAACUAAUGUUCCACUCUGCCCUUUGGAUUAUGCUUUUAAUAGUGGUAAUGCAGACCCAAAGCGGAGUAUUUUCCACUGACCUUUACUAUUGCAAGUGGCAAACCAAGGGCUGCUGUUCACAUGCCAGUUGUGCUGGCCUGAGGCACACGUUAUAUAUAACCACUGCUGGCCAGUUUGAAUUGUUCAUAAAAGAACAAAGGAGUUCAGUUCUAGAAAAAAAAAAAUCAGAAAAAUUCAGGAUUUGUAACGUGACCGUGUGUUUUACAAAUAAAAAGCACUGGUUUCCAUUGCAAGUGAUUAUCUGACUCUAAAACACCAUUACUCUGUGCUUACAGGGAGCAUCAGAAGGUUCUAGAUUCUUAGAUUCCCACGAGGACUUAACUGGUGAUCAGUCCGUGCUGGUGUCAGGAAGAGUUCGUGUUCACAUUGCUUAACUGUGAGAGCUCAUCUGAAGUCAUGGGAAUGGACGAUUUGGACUGGAGUUCAGCCUGGCACAGCAGAGAACAGUUCUGUCCCCAGUGCUUUCCAUCUUUCUUGGUGACACAUCCCCACAGCUCCCCGGUACGCCCACUGGCACCACAUCUGUGCUCCUUGGUCUGCCUUAAAAAUGUACUCAAUGGUGAUUUUUUUAUUUUUAUUUUUUUGACUGAGUUCUUCCUUACCACGAAACUGAAUCGCCCACUCCUCGGAGGUAAAAAUGGGGCUCUGAACUCAAGAAAGAUGAUUGGGUUGAGGGUGUUGAGUGUAUCAGGAGCACAAAGGACAGCGCUGGCCUUUGUUUUACAUAUGCUAUGCAUGUGCUUAGUGCAUCUAUAUGCGUGUCUGCUUUGGAUCCAGAUUUUGAGGGAUAUGGGAGGCACUGAGGACAGCACAAGUCAUGGCAUAGUCAGGCUUUAGUUUAGAGGCUGUGCCGGGCUCUUCUGCUUCUGAAGUGGGCACAUAGUUGCUGCCUUUCCCUCUGCAAGCACGGGUAGCUGCCAGCCUGCAGCAGGGUGUCUGCCAUGGCGGGGAUGGGCCCUCUGCUCUUUGGAGCCUGAGCACAGCUUUGCAAGUUCUCCCAGUGACAAAUGCAUUCCUAGCAUUGGAUUUUCCUGUGAACAAUGAUGUGCUACCUGAGCACCCUAUGUGCAGUUGUUAUACUAAUUAGCUCUGUACUUGUGUGUCGGUAAUUAUUUGGUAAUUCAGAGCUUCAUGUAAAUUUUCUGAAGUGUCUUGUUACUGUUUGAAUAUGUAUAGCUGCAAACAUCUCUGUAAAAUUGUAGCAUCGUUGCAUGUAAUCGUAAAUCAGAGCUCCCAGCACCACCCUCUCCAAAGCCAUCAUGUGCUUCCCCAUUCCAGAGCAUCGCAUAGCCGCUCCAUCCCUGGUUGCAGCAACACCAGGAACAGCAGAAAUGCUUCUCUGACACAGCUGCCAACAAUUAAACUGUGUGAGGCUUUGCUGGUGGAGGUUACGAAGAAGCCCUUAGAAAUCUGAAACAGCUUUUGAAAACAAGCACUGAAAAUAUCUGCCAGAAGCCAAGGAAUAGAUUACAGAUGGCAAACUGAUGUCUCCCGGACUGUCGGGGAAUGAUUUGGUUUGACAAAUGGCUGUGAUCUACUCUGGAGCUGUGCGGAAGAGGAACCAUCAGGCUGCAGUGUACAGAAAUAAUCAAGCAAGAUUAAGCAUGCCUGGUGCUGAUAUUUAUGGGCGGAUCUGUCCUUACAGCCCAUGGCCAGAUCCCUUACAGCUGGGAGAUGGAGGGCCCUGCAACACUGCCGCUUAAUUUCUGUGCCAUGUCUGUCAUCUGUGAACCCUUCAGACCUCCUCUAAGGGCUUCUUUGAAGAGAGAAGGAAAGGCAGCAUCAUUCACCUAUGGACCGGAGCACAGACGUGGUAAGAGAGGCUGCAGACAUUUCUGUCUGUGAUGCAGAACCUUGCAAAGCUUUCUUCAUUCACACCGUAUAAGUAAAUUCGGCCUGUGCCUAACUGCUGCAAACCUUUUCAAAGCAAAUAUAUUUGUACAAAGGAAUUCAGUAACAGAAAUGGAAUUUGCUCGUGGAUCAGAUUACUGUUAUUUCUGGCUGGAAGCAGUACCAGAAAUACUUGCAGGGAUUUCCACUUUGCCUUUGGAAAGAGGUUGCGUGUGUUGUUGGUAUAAAAGGAGCUCCGUGGGAGGUUAAUUCACGUACACAAAGAGACGGGAAAGGAGAUGAGACCAGCGAGGCUGUCACAGCCCUGGAUGUGGCUGCUGAGCUGUGCAUUGUAAUGCUCAGCCCCAGCCCACUUCUGAAACGCAGCUCUUCAGUUGUUGCUGUGAGCUGCAGUCACUGCUGUUUGGGAAGAGACAUUUGGAGCCCUGAGUCUGAGCUUUGUACGGCACAGUUCCCUCGAGGGCUUUGCCAGAUAACUUCAUGUAGAGGAUGCUAAAUGAAGUGUUAUUUUGAUAGUUCUUUGAGCACUGGUCAUUUGUGACGCUGCUCAAAGUGCUUUUACCUUAGAGCACAAACCUACAUCUGAUGGGAGCUUUGCGCCGGAGGUAUCUGGUGUUUUAAAAUAGAUGGAGUUGAUCAGAGUGAUCUGUAUUUUGCAACCAGCUUUAAACAAAGCCUCAUUUCAUUUCAAAGUGCUCUCCUGACCGACAGGCACUUGUGGAGAUGGACAGACGCACAGAGCUGCGGAGGGGCCGGUGCUGGGAUGGCAGCCGCACAGCCCGCCAGCAUGGCACCAAGUGCCUUUGGCCCCGGGGUGCUGGGACAGCGGGCAUCACCGGCAGAGAGAGGUGUUGGGGAAUACUGAGGACAGCCAUGCACUGCAGACUUCGAGUAGAGAAGUACCCAAUCUCUCUUAAUGUACAUGGAGUGUUCCAGAAUGCAGUCAGAGUCCUCUGAUAACAGCCCCAAACGUGGAUCAAAAUGGUGGGAUGAACCGAUGUCUGCGGUAUCGUAUCAAAGAACAUUUCUGUUCCUGGCAAAGUGUGAAUUCUAAAGCAAAGAAGUAUGAAAAGGUUUUACUUCAGAAAGGUGAGGUCUGCCACUAUGCCAGCGGGGUUGGAAAUGUUACUUUUCCCCCCAUAAAUGCACUUGGUAUCUCCGAACACCCAGUGAAGGCUUCUCAGCUGGCAGCAUUUUCCCGCCAUCUUGGCUGAGUUUCUCCAUCCCCCUGUAAGGCCCGGGCACACAGGAGUGCGUCACCGAGGAGUGAAUGUUUGGGCUCUUCUGAAAUGCACGCAGACUCGGUGCACCCCAGGGAGCACUGCAGGAGCACAGCCACAUCCUGUGCCCACACCGAGUGCAGGGAGACAGGAGGGAAAGGUGUCAUACAGAGCACUGAGCUAAAAAUAGAGCUGUGGCAAUCUCACACAUUGCAGCGAGCGCACUGCAGGCAGGAGAGCACACACAGCUCUGGCACUGAAAGCCUGAGAGGGUCUGCACGUUGCCAUAGGCUUCACAGCAGGACAUCAGCAUGCUUCUCUCUCUAAGAUGGAGGCAGAGGGAUUGCUUGCUUCUUCGUUGCUACGGUUUUGCAGCUGUAAUGGCAGUACGUUGGCACUUACAGGUCUUGUUCUGGAUCUUAACCAUCGCAUAAUUAAACAAGGCGUCUGUGCCUCAGCCUUACACAUGUGCUGUACCCUUCUGAGGCCAAUGCAAAAGCUUCCAUGCUUCUGAGCCGGUUUUGUUGUGCACUGUAAAAGAUUUUGUGAUUUACAUACAAGUCGUACGCUCACCCUCUGCAUGCUCAGCACCGCAUCCAUUGGAGAAACUGCCACAGAAAGCAAAGGUUUAUGUGAGUGCAAUCUUUAAUGUUUGUGAGCUGGAACCACAGCACGGGUCUUCUGGCUUCAAAAACAGAUCCCACUGAAGUUCUGCUGACCCAGAGCAGCUGAGCUUUAUUACAGAGAAGCAUUACUCUCUGGGGAAUUGCAGGUGGGAACACAGCAUCCUUCUGGUUUCACAUUGCACACAGCUGCGCAGGGGGAUGCUCACGUAGGCUGAAAGAUGACAAAAUGCCAUCACAGGUUUUCCCCUGAAAAGAAAACUCCUUGAAGCUGGCUUUUGCUGUUCCUGAGAUAUGUCCAAGGUGGUGGUCACAUACCAGUCAUUGCAGGUCCUUCUGAAGGUCCUUUUGAAGCUUUUUUUCUCCGGGAGAAAAGUCCAUCUGUAUUAUUUGUGCUGGUCUGAGCUUCAAACAGAAUGGCUGCUAGGAACUGACAGCAGAGCCUGGUAUGUAGCAUGGCCCUGUGAAGGAGUGGAUAAUCCUCCGUCCUUAAAUAUAGCUGCUAUUUGUGUUGGCAGUGUGCAGACUUCCAGGGAUUUCACCAGUGAUCCCAGACAUAGCACUUCAAAGUGCUGCUGAGGAAAUAUCUAUGCAAAUUUCGUUCUAUUUCAAAACUUCUCAACUAAAUAACGUGAGUGGGCAAAUAUGUUGCAGCCUAUGGAAGCUUAAUAUAGAAAAAUGUUCAAAAGGAAAAUAUCCAGAGAGUAUUUUUUCUAUUACACAGACCUGGAAACUGUAUCAGCUCAUAGCAGGUGGUGAGAUUAAGCCCCUGCAGUCCAAAGGGAAACUGAGCAACCUACUUCAUCUUUCAAACUUUCACAAUCUGUGGGCCAGACAGGAUCCACCCAAUGGUCCUGGAGGAGCCGGCAGAAGAAUUCCUUCAUGGAAGGGCUGUCAGACACUGGGAGGGAUUCCCUGGGGCAGCUCCAUCCCUGGGGGUGUUCAGGAGGUGUGCAGACAUGGAGCUGAAGGAUGUGGUUUGGUGGUGGGAUGCAGGAGGGCGGCUUGGUGGCUGGAGACCCUUUCCAGCCCAGAUAAUCCUGUGGUUCUAUCAUUUUUUGAAUUGAGGGGUUAUACCAAUUGUUCUUUCAGCUUAGUUUUCCCCAGUUAAUUUCUUUUUCACGUCAAACACACUUUGCAGGCACCACACCAAAACCCAUUCUAACAUUUCUGUAAGCUUGAUGCAAUGGCUUAGUUGCCAGCCAGCAGUCAGCAUACUGGUAAUCACUGCCCCUUGUCCCAUGUGGCCCCCCCAGUAUUAGCAAGGAGCUGGGGCCUAGGCUCUGCAGGUGUUGGCAGCAGUGUACAGCAGCAUACGGCAGCAUGUGGCCGUGCAUGGCACAGCCCGGCAGCACAUGGCAGCAUCUGGCUUGCUGAGCAUAUUGCAAGAGGGGACAUGCUGCAGAGCUAGGCCUUGCCAGCACCAGUGGGACCUUUUUUGCUAAUACUACUUGUAGUGGCAGUGCUAAGUCACGGCCUGAAACAGUGACUGAGCACCUAGUGGGAAGGCAGGGCCAACCCAGGGGAGCUCAGCUGCAUGCAGUGCACCUGAAUGACUAGAAGGGUGGAGCCAGGAUCACCCCUUCUCAGACCUCAUUUAAGGGUUGGCAAUGGAGGUGAGGGUAUCUCUUGCUGGAGAUGAGCAGCUCUUUUCCUUUAUUUCUGCAUCUAUGGCUGCUGUGUUUGGUCUUGUUCUCACUUUCUGUAGCCAGAGACUUUGCCAUUCUGCUUUUGUCAUCUCAUUAGAGCAUUACACCACUGCACUGUGAAUCCGUUUCAUGCCAGAAGGGUGCUAAGAAGUUACCUUCCUCUCUGCAGGAAUGCCAAUGAAUUUUCUUGUAUCAAUGAGAUCCACAGGACCGCUAAGUUCCUUUCUUCAGUGUAGAUGUUUAUAACAAAUGUUCUUACACAACUCAUGGCAUCCUCUGCUCAAGGUCUUCACUGCUGUCCCUGUAUCUGUGCAUUCCUCAGACUGGGCCCCAACUUCUUCCAGUUCUCCUAUGCAAAGCAAACACACUGAGGAGCCACAUCUGCACAAAUAGCAGCAGGGCAGUGUCGGGUUUCCUCCCCUUCUUCACAGUUGUUUGAAAAAGCAGCUGAUGGUGUUAAUGGAAUCAGAUGUUCUGUGAGCCUGGGGAGCAGAGGUUGCACUGUGACCCUCUGUUCUGUAACCACCGAACAGACACUGAUUAAAUUCUCUUAGUUGUGUUCUAAAGAGAUUACUUUGAAACGAAAUCAGAGCUGAAUGAAACAGAGCAGGUGCCCGAUGAGGAGUUGAUAUGAUAUAGUCCAUAUCUGUUUUGAUCUCAAAAGCCAUGUUGUGUUUUCGUUGUUGUUGCUUUUGUGGGAUGAAAAGUCCAAAUAGGGCUCGGGAAUGUCUCUAUUAUUUAGUUGAAAUGUUUCAGUAUUUCUGGAAUCAGUAGCAGUCAGUUUGUUCCUUGAACUGCCUUCACAAUCAGUUUUCAGUUUAAGUUUCAGUUUUCCCUGGGAGCUGCACCUUUUGGUCGGUGCUUCAGAACUUGAAUGUGCAAGUGUCAGCAUCCCCAGGCAGAGGGCAGCAGCUCACAGCCUGGUGACCCACACAUCUGCAUUGCAUUAGGGGGAACACAAUCGCCCUGGAAGCUCUGCAGCUCCAACACUGCACACCAGUGAGGGGAUGCAGUGCAGCAUUUGCUCAAACCAAUGCUUAACAGCAUUUCAGACUAAUAAUAACAUUAUGAAAUGAAGUAAGUUGUUUUCGUUAUCUUAGCAAGCAGACGAACAUUUUCUGCAUUGUGUGGAAGCCGGUUUUCUGCCCUAACACCCUCCAACAGAAGACUUGCACCCAGGCCGUGGCAGGAUGGAGCCAUAGCAGGGGGUGGCGGGCAGGGCUGGGCAGGGGCUGUGUCUGGGUAUGCAGGAGGGCUGAGCUCCGGCACAGGAAGGUUUUGUGGCUGCAGUGGCAAGGGGAGCAUGGUGGGGCCCAUCAUGGAGCCUGAGGUGUAGAUGUCUGAGCCUGAUGAGGGUGCUGGGAGGUGCAGCAGGGCAGAGUGCUGCAGCUGUGCUGAAUGUCCUCUCCUUGAUGUCAGAAUACAGGGCUCUGGCUCACUCUGACGCUGACUGCUGCGAUCAGCUUGGAGUUAAUUGAACUAAAUGGGAAGUUUGCCAGGGAUGUGGUUAUUGUGGCUUGGUCAUUAGCACAAAGGCAGUGUACAGUUAGCUGCUGUUUGAUGCCUCAGGUGUUCGUGGUGACAGCAGUGAGUGGCUCUGCUCUCCAGAAGCAGUCUGAUCUGGAGGAGACAGCAGCCCUCCUGGCUCAGGAUGUAGGUACUGAAUGUUUGAAAUACAGAUAUUCCCCAUUGGAAUAAAUCUGUUUUAUUUUACAGAAUCACAGAAUGUCUGAGGUUGGAAGGGACCUCAAGGAUCAUGAUUCUCCAACCCCCCUACCACAGGCAGGGCCACCAGCCUCCCCAUUUAAUACCAGACCAGGCUGCCCAGGGCCCCAUCCAACCUGGCCUUGAAACUCAUCACUUACUUUGAGUAAUGUAAACUAUUGUGUAUGCUGGUGGUCCACCCUUGUACUCUUUGCAGUCCUUGCACACGGCCGUGGCUCUGGCUGGCAUCCGUUGGGGCAGCCUCACUGCACCCAUGCCAGCAAGCUGAACUUGGAGUGAAAUACAGAACAAAGCCUUAAUCUGGCGGUGCCGAUGGCUUCAUUGGGAAAUACUGACUGUAUUUUUAACAUAUACUGUUUUGUAGUGAUGAAUGCUUAAAGUCCUUCCUGUUGUCCGUAGCUGUUUCCCUCUGUACUGUGGUUAGCCUGAGAUCCUGAGCUGGAAUGAGCAGCAUGCGGAGAUCUAAGGCACAGUAAGCUUGGCCUAGAUGAUCUCAUGCAUGUCUGUAGGAAGGUAUAGAAACUUACUGGCAAUGCCAUGGAAUUUUCCUCUCUUUUGCCCUUUCAUGUGCGAAUGUUGAACCCAAAAAACGCCUUUUGUACCGGGGGGGGGGGGGAGGGGUGUUUUGCUGAUUCCAAAGUGAAAUGCUUGUGAAAUUGUACCUGCAGUAAAUAGAACUAUGACUGCAUACUGAAAUCAAACCUCCAGUAACAAUAUCAGGGCAGAGCUGGUACACAAAGUGGUCUUCAUAGAGACAGAGUCAGGCAGAUGGGAAACAUUACACCAGUUUUUCCUCAAGGGUAGCACUUAAGUAGUUCUCCACUUACAGAAAGGAAUCAUAGCAGGUUUGUAUCAAAGUAACUUCAGCCAAAGUUAUUUCUCUAAGAGGAGAUAAACAUCUCUUUUGGAAUUUCAUUGAUAACAUAUCAGAUAUGAUAAAUAUGGCACAGGAGUAAUGAGAGCCUUCAAAAGAUGCUCUUUGUCCCUGGGCCCUUCUCUGGGGAACACUGCGUCCAGAGGGGACACGCUGGAACAGCAGUUGCCUGUACAAAGCGCAGAAGCAGAUAUAUUCAAGUUACUGUAUUAAAUAAGUGUGCUGAUCACAGUAAUGCACCCUGCGCACUGCACUGAGCACCAGCAUCCCCAGCCCCACACCCAAAGGCUGCCAGGUUUCACUACUCAGCCCUUGUCCCUCCACUCCUCAGGAAGCAGCCAGAGUGGGGCAAGCAUCCGGCUCUCCAGGAGUGAAGUGAAGGGAAGCAAAUGUCUCUGUGCCCCAGCUGAUGCUUUGAGGAUGGGCUGUGAGCAAGCAGAACACGCUGUGUUGCACCAGGCCACAGCUUUUGGUGUGCACUCUCAUCCAGUCUGGCUGCUGGAAGCCACGCAGGCACAGCAGGAGUCCUGCAGGAGGGCUGAGAUGGGGCCAGCAGCCACACACCAUUGCCUUUGGGCCCCCCAGCACCACAGCAGUGAUCUGCUGAGCCAUCAUGGUGCCUCUGGCCCACCAGGGCCUCAGGACAGCAGCCUCCUCCUGUCCUCACGUCAGCCCAAGGAGAUGGGACGACGUGUUGGCAAAAUAGAUGAGCUCAGCACAAAGGGCAAAGAGUAUGGUGAGCUUUCUGUAUUGACUUUGCUUUGUUCUCACUAAGAAAAAUGCCCUGAGAGUGAUGAGCCCUAAUGCAUUAGCCUUAGCAGGACAAAGUGUCAGCCAAAAACAUCCUAGGAAAAAGAAAGGGGAAGCAUCUAAAUGCUAAAACACUCCAGCUGACCCAUGUUCCAUUUCCCUUUUCUCAUUGCAAAUGUGUGGCUCUCCUCACGUCCAACCACAGCACAGAGCUGGGUUUAUGGCUGGGCACAGCAUGGAGCUGGGCUUAUAGUUGGGCACAGAGCUGGGCACAGCACAGAGCUGGGCAGCCUUUCCUGCAGCAAGAUGCUCUCCUGGCAGGACACAGUCCCACUGACUGUGGCAAGGCUGGGGUGAAGGGAACAGAGGGCAGCAGCAAGCAGCUCUGCUCUCAGCCUGGCUGGCACUGCUGUCCAUAAGGCCUCUGCUUGCUCUUUCAAAUGUACCUUCAUAAUCUUAAAUAAACUGACACUGAAGCUCUAGGUAAAACUGCUACAAAUGUUAGCCUUGCUUUUUUUUGUGCUGCUGUUUUAUUUAUUAUUGGCUUUCCAUUCCAAGUCUGCUGUUCUCUGGUUGGAGCCUGUACUGCGCAUGAAGAAAGGAAAAGUAACUGGAACACAACCCACAGCCACGUCCAUUAAUUCUUGUGGGGAAGGGCUUUUGGACUGAGAAGUAUAAGAACCUACUUGAACGUGUAUUUGAAUGUCUCUUCCAUUCUCCAGGCAGCAGUGAGCUACGUGAACUUUGUAAGAGGAGGUGACUUCUGGCGGUAGCAGCUGUGACUCAGCCCUAAAGCACAGCCACAGGGCCAGGCUUUCUCACCCCCAGCCUGGGCUCUCUCAAGAGGCUCCAGCCCAGCUGCUGGCACACAGACGUGUUCAAUUCAGUAGAGAAGAGAUGUGAAUCUUUAUCUGAAAGAUUACGUACAGCACAGGAAAACUUGCCAGCAAGAAAAUAAUGUGAAAACAGAGAUGAAGUUGACUGGAGUCCUGAAUUACAGUCUAAAGGGCAGCCAAACUGAGGGAAAUCAUGCAGGAAUAUGGGGCAAGCCAGUCAGACACCCCUAGAAAGCCAUGUCAUUUUUUUCCCCAGCCUCAGUGGGCUUUUGUUUAACCAUUAAAGUAGCUGGACAAAUUACCUAGAAAUGUUUGACCUUUGGAAAGGCCUCUGAGGCACAGCUGCCUGCUGUUCUCUGAACUGGUUCAUGUGGUUCCCACUCGGAAUGGUUUUUGAGGUUCACCCAAGCGUGGAAAGGGGUCUGGUUGUAUCGGUGAGGGAACUGAGAAGAUAAACUUAGGAAGGAGUGAGAAAAGCACCAGGGAAUUUUACAUGUUAUAUUUGCAUCAAAGGAAGGAAAGGGCACACAAAUGUACCAACCUGAAGUAGCUCGUUGGCUUUGAACUUCAAAAGAAAGUUACAGAGCAAAGAGCUGAGGUAGCAGUGGCCUUUGGGACAGUCUGUUUCACAGAAUCAGGUAGGAACUACAGAAUGCAAUGCAUUUAGCUUUUUUAGCCGCAGGAAUUUUUUUUUUUUUUUAAUGGUAAAAAUAUAACAGAAAUGCUACAUUCCUGCAUUCCCCUUUCAACUUUAUUUUCCUUCUGCUCUUGCAGUCACUGUACACAGGAGGUUGCUUGGUUGUACCAUUUCAGAGCUCGCUGCAGGGCCUGGCCGUGCCCCUUCUGCUGCCAUUUCAG